This 72-nucleotide transfer RNA is filed under the name Sporichthya sp. Its description in RNAcentral is "tRNA-Val". It matches the Rfam family "tRNA". Rfam says of the family: Transfer RNA (tRNA) molecules are approximately 80 nucleotides in length. RNAcentral also lists the same sequence under 1 other name. Lineage: Bacteria; Bacillati; Actinomycetota; Actinomycetes; Sporichthyales; Sporichthyaceae. The record is from RNAcentral.
GGGCGUAUAGCUCAGCGGUAGAGCCCCGCGCUUACAACGCGGUGGUCACAGGUUCGAUCCCUGUUGCGCCCA